GUACAGCUAUGGUUACUUUUGAAAGAAGGCACUAUUUCCCUGAUGCUCUCCUGCAGAGACACUGGACAGGAACCUAGCAUAACUCCUCUGAGACGCCACCCAGCAGCCAAUGGAAAGAGAUGCAGAGACUCACAACCAAACAGUAGAUGGAGCUCGGGAGUAAGAAGUUGGUAGAAGAGCUGGGAAAAUGACUGAGGGACCCUAAGAGGACAGGGACUCCACAGGAAGACCAACAGAGUCAACUAACCUGGACCCUUGGAGGCUCCCAGAGACUGAACCACCAACCAAAGAGCGAGCACAGGCUGGACCUAGGCCCAUUAUAUCAGACGAGCAGCUUGGUUUUCAUAGAGAUCCCCCAACAUAGCAGGGAUUCCCUGAGCCUGCUGCCUGCCUGCCUGCCUGCCUGCCUGUGGAUCCUGCUAAAUGGACAGCCUUGUCUGGCCUCAGUGGGAG
This 453-nucleotide long non-coding RNA is filed under the name Mus musculus (house mouse). RNAcentral describes it as "predicted gene, 47136". Lineage: Eukaryota; Metazoa; Chordata; Mammalia; Rodentia; Muridae. The record is from RNAcentral.